RNAcentral lists this ribosomal RNA (322 nucleotides) under Vararia sp. CFMR FP105686. Its description in RNAcentral is "partial small subunit ribosomal RNA". The record is from RNAcentral. Lineage: Eukaryota; Fungi; Basidiomycota; Agaricomycetes; Russulales; Lachnocladiaceae.
GGGAUGAUAAUGAUCCUACCUGUCUAUGGUGUAGUCAAAACUUGGCGCCCGAAGUCUCGGUAUUAAAGCUAGAAUCAGGUAGAGGUUAAAAUAAUCAGGCAAGGCCAGCAAAGUAGGGGUACUAUCCUUAGAGCUUGGUCCGUAGACUAAAUUGCGAAAGCUACUAUUCCAUUACCGAAAUUGACGGCUGAGGAACGAAGGUGAGUGAAAGGAAACAGGAUUUGGUACCCCUCUACCCUCUCUGUCAACCAUGAAUGGUACUUAUUGGUUCCUAGUUUUAAUGUUAACACGUUAACCAUUCCGCCUUGUGAGUACGAUUGCA